AAAUUGAAGAGUUUGAUCAUGGCUCAGAUUGAACGCUGGCGGCAGGCCUAACACAUGCAAGUCGAACGGUAACAGGAAGAAGCUUGCUUCUUUGCUGACGAGUGGCGGACGGGUGAGUAAUGUCUGGGAAACUGCCCGAUGGAGGGGGAUAACUACUGGAAACGGUAGCUAAUACCGCAUAACGUCGCAAGACCAAAGAGGGGGACCUUCGGGCCUCUUGCCAUCGGAUGUGCCCAGAUGGGAUUAGCUUGUUGGUGAGGUAACGGCUCACCAAGGCGACGAUCCCUAGCUGGUCUGAGAGGAUGACCAGCCACACUGGAACUGAGACACGGUCCAGACUCCUACGGGAGGCAGCAGUGGGGAAUAUUGCACAAUGGGCGCAAGCCUGAUGCAGCCAUGCCGCGUGUAUGAAGAAGGCCUUCGGGUUGUAAAGUACUUUCAGCGGGGAGGAAGGGAGUAAAGUUAAUACCUUUGCUCAUUGACGUUACCCGCAGAAGAAGCACCGGCUAACUCCGUGCCAGCAGCCGCGGUAAUACGGAGGGUGCAAGCGUUAAUCGGAAUUACUGGGCGUAAAGCGCACGCAGGCGGUUUGUUAAGUCAGAUGUGAAAUCCCCGGGCUCAACCUGGGAACUGCAUCUGAUACUGGCAAGCUUGAGUCUCGUAGAGGGGGGUAGAAUUCCAGGUGUAGCGGUGAAAUGCGUAGAGAUCUGGAGGAAUACCGGUGGCGAAGGCGGCCCCCUGGACGAAGACUGACGCUCAGGUGCGAAAGCGUGGGGAGCAAACAGGAUUAGAUACCCUGGUAGUCCACGCCGUAAACGAUGUCGACUUGGAGGUUGUGCCCUUGAGGCGUGGCUUCCGGAGCUAACGCGUUAAGUCGACCGCCUGGGGAGUACGGCCGCAAGGUUAAAACUCAAAUGAAUUGACGGGGGCCCGCACAAGCGGUGGAGCAUGUGGUUUAAUUCGAUGCAACGCGAAGAACCUUACCUGGUCUUGACAUCCACGGAAGUUUUCAGAGAUGAGAAUGUGCCUUCGGGAACCGUGAGACAGGUGCUGCAUGGCUGUCGUCAGCUCGUGUUGUGAAAUGUUGGGUUAAGUCCCGCAACGAGCGCAACCCUUAUCCUUUGUUGCCAGCGGUCCGGCCGGGAACUCAAAGGAGACUGCCAGUGAUAAACUGGAGGAAGGUGGAGAUGACGUCAAGUCAUCAUGGCCCUUACGACCAGGGCUACACACGUGCUACAAUGGCGCAUACAAAGAGAAGCGACCUCGCGAGAGCAAGCGGACCUCAUAAAGUGCGUCGUAGUCCGGAUUGGAGUCUGCAACUCGACUCCAUGAAGUCGGAAUCGCUAGUAAUCGUGGAUCAGAAUGCCACGGUGAAUACGUUCCCGGGCCUUGUACACACCGCCCGUCACACCAUGGGAGUGGGUUGCAAAAGAAGUAGAUAGCUUAACCUUCGGGAGGGCGCUUACCACUUUGUGAUUCAUGACUGGGGUGAAGUCGUAACAAGGUAACCGUAGGGGAACCUGCGGUUGGAUCACCUCCUUA
Molecule: ribosomal RNA, 1542 nt
Filed under: Escherichia albertii KF1
Lineage: Bacteria; Pseudomonadati; Pseudomonadota; Gammaproteobacteria; Enterobacterales; Enterobacteriaceae
Description: bacterial SSU rRNA
Rfam family: Bacterial small subunit ribosomal RNA
Source: RNAcentral